AGAUCAGAAAUCGAACACGUUUGCUUUUGCGAUUCGAGAGCCCUUUCUGGCGCGGAGCUAGGGGCGGUGUUACGUAGCUGCCCUGAACUGAGAGCAGCGUUGGCCGGGGGCUAGGGAGCCGGGCUGUUCCACGCUCACUGUGCGCCUCGGGCGGCGGGGCUCGGGCUCUGUCCGAGGUGCUGAACUCCGGGGCUCCGGCCGCGCCGGCAGAGUGUGCCAGCGUCCAUUAUUGCCAGUGUCUGUGGGCAUCUUCCAGAAGGCCGAGCAUGGGGGUCAGGUGAAACCAGGGCGCCAUGUGAGACUCGCCUGCUUCUCCUUUGCCUCCCACCAUGACUGUAAGUUUCCUGCGACCUCCCCAGCCGUGCUUCCUGUACAGCCUGCAGAACUGAUGGCCUGGACUUCCUCACAGUAUGGUGGCUGGGGAGCAAGAGGAAAAGGCCCAAUGUGCAAGCACUUAUGGAGCCUCUGCCUGCAUCACAUUUGCUAAUGUCCCAUUGGCUAAAGCAAAUCACAUGGCCAAGCUCAAGUCUAUGUGGAAGGAGACUACACAAGAACAGAAAUACUGGGAGGCAUAAUUCUCCAACAGCUGCAAAGUAACAGUCUAUCACAAUUUCUAAUUCCAGCUCUUGCAGCCAGAAGACACUGUUGGGUUUUUAGAUGCAGGGACAGCCCAGAGAUCCAAGCAGAGGAAAUACGUUUGGCUCUGGGAGAGUCUGGAGUCUUAUUAGCAGCUAAAGAGCCUGACUGGGUUGUUGCAUGUGACUCCAUGGUGCAAUACAGCCUCUCCAGCCCAGGGGCCAUGACAAUAAGAAGCCUCCAUAACUGGGAGCCAGUGAAUGAAGGUAUCCUGAACAAGCAUGAAAAGAAGUAUCAGCUCAAACAGAAGUUCUAUGGGUCUAGGAUGGGAUCUUGGCCCCAGAGUGGGAAGCGGAAGAAUAAACACCCCAGCUUCCUGGCCCCUCAGGUGUGUUCUGGACCACCUCCCAGAAUCCCAGCAAGACUGAAGUCCAGGUGCCUACAACAUAACCUUCUCAUUGGCACUCUUUAAUGGUUUCCAUCCCUCCAUCCCUGUCAUAAUUCUUCCCUAUUAGGGCUUCCUGGGGUCACCUUUCAAAUAAACCACUUAUACUCAAAU
This 1135-nucleotide long non-coding RNA is filed under the name Homo sapiens (human). RNAcentral describes it as "ANKRD34C antisense RNA 1". Lineage: Eukaryota; Metazoa; Chordata; Mammalia; Primates; Hominidae. The record is from RNAcentral.